Long non-coding RNA from Syngnathus typhle (broad-nosed pipefish), 669 nucleotides. RefSeq lists it as uncharacterized. NCBI's taxonomy places the organism in Eukaryota, Metazoa, Chordata, Actinopteri, Syngnathiformes, Syngnathidae. The transcript has 3 exons. The record is from RefSeq and is a predicted model, not a curated record.
AUGAAAUUGGGAAAUAUGUAAUGGCACACUGAUAAGUAUGCCGAAACUAAUGACGUCGUUAGAUCGAGCUGAUAAUGACAAUAAAAUCUAUUAUCCUGAUGUCAUGUCGGUACGAAUGAUCUACUUCGCUUGGUGUCGUCCUCGUCGGUGUUUGCCUUUCCCCGGCCUCCAUUUGGCGCUUAUGCAAUGUGGUGGUGAGAAUCUGCUGGCUGAAUAAACAAGUCUCCAUCACAGAGGAUUACAAGCUGUCAGACAUGACCCACAUACUGUGACACCUCUCUGCAGGUGUUGGAGUGCGUCAUCACUGGAACUCUUCCCAUAGCACGUGUGGACACAAACACACACACACACACACACACACACACACAUACAGAGCUGAGUGCUGCUAUUGUUCGCCAUGCCGUGUUGUGUCAUGACCCUCACCUUUGCACUACUUUCUCCUUGGGGUUACCUGCCUUAACCCUAACCCCUCUUCGUUUAUCUUCAGAACUUUGUGUCGAUUUUAUUUAUUUAUUUAUUUUUAUUUUUUCCCCCUAUACUGUUGGGGCAUCCUUUUCCUGUUAAACUAACAAUUGGAGGAACCCAGCGGUGAGAGGUUGCUCUCUCAUCUAUUUGAAACAGAUGCACACACACUCUUGCUCAUCACAGUGGACCCCACCCCUCCACCAC